AAUUGUUCGCAAUGGGCGCAAGCCUGACGACGCAACGCCGCGUGGAGGAUGAAGACCUUCGGGUCGUAAACUCCUUUCGACCGAGAUGAAUAGCCACUGAUCUAAUACAUUGGUGGCCUGACAGUAUCGAGGGAAGAAGCCCCGGCUAACUCCGUGCCAGCAGCCGCGGUAAUACGGAGGGGGCUAGCGUUGUUCGGAAUUACUGGGCGUAAAGCGCACGUAGGCGGCUUUACAAGUCAGGGGUGAAAGCCCGCGGCUCAACCGCGGAAUUGCCCUUGAGACUGUAUCGCUUGAACACGGGAGAGGUGAGUGGAAUUCCGAGUGUAGAGGUGAAAUUCGUAGAUAUUCGGAAGAACACCAGUGGCGAAGGCGGCUCACUGGACCGUUGUUGACGCUGAGGUGCGAAAGCGUGGGGAGCAAAC
RNAcentral lists this ribosomal RNA (422 nucleotides) under uncultured bacterium. RNAcentral's name for it is "bacterial SSU rRNA". It matches the Rfam family "Bacterial small subunit ribosomal RNA", at positions 360 to 773 of the family's 1533-position model. The record is from RNAcentral.